This 492-nucleotide ribosomal RNA is filed under the name uncultured bacterium. RNAcentral describes it as "partial 16S ribosomal RNA". It matches the Rfam family "Bacterial small subunit ribosomal RNA", at positions 29 to 507 of the family's 1533-position model. The record is from RNAcentral.
AGUGAACGCUGGCGGUAGGCCUAACACAUGCAAGUCGAACGGCAGCACAGUAAGAGCUUGCUCUUACGGGUGGCGAGUGGCGGACGGGUGAGGAAUACAUCGGAAUCUACUUUUUCGUGGGGGAUAACGUAGGGAAACUUACGCUAAUACCUCAUACGACCUACGGGUGAAAGCAGGGGAUCUUCGGACCUUGCGCGAUUGAAUGAGCCGAUGUCGGCUUAGCUAGUUGGCGGGGUAAAGGCACACCCAGGCGCCGAACCGAACCUGGUCUGAGAGGAUGAUCUCCGACAAUGGACCUGAGACACAGUCCCGACACUCACGGGUGGCUGCCGUGGGGAAUAUUGGACGAAGCGCGCACACCUGAUCCAGCACUCUCGCUUGGGAGAAGAACGCCUUCGGCUUGUACAGCACUUUUGUUGGGAACGAAAAUAAGCCAGUUCAUACCCCGCUUUUCCGACAGUACCCAAAGCAUCAGCACCGGCUAACUUCGUG